AUUUAUUUAUUUAAUUAUUUAUUUUCAUACAGGUGGGUGUGGGUGUGGGUAGGUACGUGAAAUCUGUGUGAGAUCAAUAAGUGCGUGUGUGCACGUGAGAUCAGUAUGAGAUCAGCGUGUAUUGUAUUCACAGCGCGGCACGCCUAGGGGGCCAGGCCAGACCUGAAAAACCAGCCGCCUCCUUCUCUCCGAUUCACCACAGUAGAGCGCGCCACACACACCUGUCAGCCAGGUACACACAACAAACUCGAACACGAUUUUCUCCAUGUCUUUCUGAUAAAUGGUCCUUUUUUCUUUGGUGUUCUUUUUUAAUCAGCCACACAGCCUUACUGGACUAUGCCCUGUUCUGUGGACUGAGGGGUUUGCACUGUGGGGAGACAUUUUUCCACAAGCAGCACACUGGUGAAGAUGCAAGCCAACACAGCUUCUCCCGUGACCAACCUCACCACGGCCACGACCAAAUCGCGAGAACAAAUCCUCAUGCAGAGUGCAGGCGCCAUGAUCGCAAUUAUUGUUAUCGGCAUCGUCCUCAUCCUCAGCAUACUACUCAUCAUACUGAAGACAUAUAACAAGAAGAUGCACACAAGGAGGAUACUCAAUGGGACUUCCACCAAACCACGUAAAAACACGACCUCAACAACAAUGACGACACUGCAGAUGGAGAACAUGCGAGGCAGUGCCAACAUGCGAGGCAGCGCCAACAUGGGAGGCUUAGUACACUUGCCCAACAUCUCGGAGAACGGGUUCCAUUUACCACGAGCCGAGGUGGCUAACACGGCUGAACGAAUCAGCAUGAACAGUGGCUCCACUGUGGUCACGAUACAUAACACGCCAUCGAUCGAAAAUACGUAAAAAAACAAACAAAAAAAACAACAACCAAUAUGUGACUUCAAUGGGCUCCAUUGUGCUGUGUGAUGAGAAAACACACCCCCACAACGAACAAACUGAUCAGAGGAUGAUGACCAGGACAUGGAAAAACAAAAGACAGACCAAACAUUGAAUUACUGGCAUGUUGAGACAAACAUGAGCACCUCUGAAGGCCGAAUGUAGUCAAUGGACCACUGGGUCAGACUGUGGUCAAAUGGACCACAGGGACUCUCAGAGCUAAGCGUGGGCAAAUGGACCACUGGGGACAUUUAGGGUUCAUUAUAGUACUGAGAAAACCAUUCCACCAGGACCAGUGGCCAUUUCACCUAAUAACCCUACUUUGUGGUCUCUGGAAAAUGAAACUAUCCAGUUUUAUAAUAGGGACCUCACAUGUCAUGACUGAACAAGUAAUACAGUGUGUGGUAUCACAUAUAAACAGUUUCCUGUGAGUCCAAGUGCAAAGACAGUAAUAAAAAGAGUGAAGGUUGUAACGUGUAACUAUUGCACUAACAAUAACUGAUGUUUCCCUUUACUUAAAACUAAGAUCAACAGAAAACCCUUUUAGUCUAAGGGCAGUUGUUAAAUGGUCAGUAGAUGUUUAAUAUGCCACCACAGCAUUGCUGAAUUCUCGAACCAGAAGAAGCUGUAACAAACAAAAGGUGUAUAUUAACACAUCUGUGUACAUCAUUCUAAUAGGUUGUCGUUUCUAUAGCAACAGCUCAUUCACACAUUAAAAAUGUGUUGUUAUUUAAAUGUAGACUCAUUGAUCAUGUGAUGUUUUCUUGAGGAGACAUUUAUUUGAACAUGUUUGGAAGGAGUCUCCAGUGUCAGCACUUUGUAACAGUUUUCUGCCAUGUGAAAGUCUUCAGGAUGGAGGACUUUGCACAUUGAGAUUUCUUGUCUUAUUAACUUGAAGAGAAAUUGGGGGAAUAACUGUUUAGUAUUGUAAUGUAAGUGAUUAGUGCAUAUUAGCUGUGUUCGACUAGAACUCGUACACUGUAAUUCCCAACCUCCAGCCAAGAAAAGCUACUUGAAAACGCUACUGAAAAUAAUACACUCCACACGAAACUUCCCUCUUAUUCAUGUCGGGUCGUAUCGUAUCACACCCAGCUCAUGUUGAUUGUUUUCCUAUAAUAGCAUGGACGGUCAUGUUCUGUUCCUUACAUUUAACACAAUUUCAAAACCACAACACGAUAAAGGUCUUAUUAACAGACAAAAGUGGAAGUCUUAACAAAGCUGCUCUUAUGGAGUUUUGUCCAAAUUUCAAACACUAGAGUGAUACAGUUAAAAAUAUAUAUAUAUAAAUAAAUGAAUGAAAUGUUACUUACAUUUUCCCUGAGGUUUAUUAAUAUCUGUCCACAAUCCUGAGGAAACAGAAGAACUGUUCAUCAAAUUUAUACAUUUGACUGAAGAAUUCAUUAAAGCUCUCUACAUGUUAAAUGCAUACGUUUACUAUCACCCAUCUGACGCCCAACAGCCUCCCUAUGUUUUGUGUUUCACAUAAGAAUCUCUUGCUCUUUUCUCAGUAAAGAGAAACGUCAAAAUUGUCUAUGGUGCACAUUAUGGAUGUAGUAGAUAGGAUGUAGUGAGAGGAGAAAAAAAACAAACUCCGGAGCAUUUUAAGGCAGUAACUUGAUGUACAAGUUGGUGUUUACUUUAGAAUUUUGCACAUUCACAUGAUAUUGAGUAAAUGAAGCUUUUUAUGUUGUUGGGACAUUAAAAACAAAUGAAAUGAUUUGUGUGAAUUGUGCUGUUACUGGUUACACCUACUAAGAUUCCUGUACAAGUUCAACUUGUGUACCAUGGAGUCAUGGAACUCGAUUCUGAUUGGUCAGACGCGUGUUGAUGAAUUUUCUAUAAAAGGUUUUUAUUAAGGCACUCAUUCUAAUACGUUAUCUUUUCUGUAGUAUAAAUUUACACAGAGAUGUGUGCUGGAGAACACUCCACGUAAAUUGAUUUUAAAAAAAAGGUUUAAUCAUGGAUACGGUGAGGUUCUGCAAGAUGGUUGUUUAGCAUUUAUGGAAGGAGUCUUCAGUGUCAGCACUUUGUAAAAGUUCGCGGUAAAGCAGUUCCUUUAAAGUCCCCAUGAAAUCAAAAUUGUGGCUUUUAGUGUGAAUAGGUCAGCCUUAAGGUUAUCUAUGAGCUAGUGCACUCCAGAACAAUGACAAAAAUUCACAUUUAGACAAUAACCACGUUCAAACUCUGCAUAUACACGUCUCUCUCUACCACCAAUACGGAUCAACAAUUUUGAUGACAUCGUUCCGUACUUCAACUUCUUGUCAGAUUUUCUGUCCAAUCAAAUGCUCUUUAAAAUCUGAUGUGUCCCACCCUCAACAUUAUAAAAAAAACAACAUGGAACUGUCAUGGGAAACUUUUCAGGACAGAGGAGUUUUACACUUUCUCAGUAACAUGACAAGGAAAUGGUUAAUUAACGUUCUUUGGAUAUUGAAUGGGUUGUUGGCCUCCUAAAAGGGGGUUCUACUUGUAAAUCUCUCUAGUAGGGUUCUACACAGAACCUUUAAGGUUUCCCCUCACAGAGACAAGUGAAGGAACCAUUAAUGGGAGUGAAUUUAAUCCUUUUUUUUUUCCAUCUGUACAUCAAGGAUACCCAUGAUGGUCUGCUAUUUUAGACAUUGACUAGAGCACCCCCUGGUGGAAAAGAAAAAAAAACACUUAUUAAAUAAAGACUUUAAUCACAAAGAUUUUAAUCUCAAAGGGGUUUAUUCACAAAAUAGAUGCAUAACAAAAAAAUACAGCAGCACAUGUUCAUAUAAAAGGUCUCUUUGUAUGUGAAAAAUAACUUUUUAGAGAACAUAGUCAAGCUGCGCUGCAUCGCUCUAUUCUAGUGCAACAUGUUAACCAAAGCCACACAGGCACGAGAUCAACACAGACCUCUCAGAAGUCUGCUCGCAAUUAGCAUAAACAACAAACAAACAAAACAAAUAAAACGAAGGAAACAUCCAAGUGCAAAUCUAAUUGUGUACUGACCAAAGGCAACGCUGACAAGUAGUGAAGCUUAAGUUUAAGAAAAUGUUCCAAAAUUCAUCGUCAUGAUUUCAGUCAUUUGUGGCACAAAUUUGAACUUACUCUGAAUCAUUCUUUACAACUUAGUGCAAUACGAACCCAUGUUAAGUGGAGGACACUUUUUAUACAUUUUGAACCUAAUUUAAAAAAGUAAAAAAAAAAAAAAAAUGUUUGAGGUGGAUUAAGUGAAGAUUUAUAGCUAAGUCUUUAGUUGUACUGUGUGUUAAAAGGACAGCAGAGAGACAAUUGAUGAUUAAAGAUCGAGCCCACCAGAUCAGUGUAAAUGUUUUGAAGAAGAGACAGAGAGAGAGAGAGAGAGAGAGAGAGAGAGAGAGAGAGAGAGAUCUCUUUUUAAUCUGUUCUCACAUAGAUAAGAUGUCCUUAAAGUUACAGUGCUUUGUAAGAAUUUCAAAAUUGCUCAUAAGCCCCCAAAUAAUUACACUUGAUGGAUGCUGGGAUCAACUAAAAGUAUUAUUAUUAUUAUGACUACUAUAAUUUGAAAUGUUUAGGAACAGAGUGUACACAAAUAUAUAUAUAU
Molecule: long non-coding RNA, 4429 nt
Organism: Ictalurus punctatus (channel catfish)
Lineage: Eukaryota; Metazoa; Chordata; Actinopteri; Siluriformes; Ictaluridae
Source: Ensembl